RNAcentral lists this ribosomal RNA (231 nucleotides) under Triticum aestivum (bread wheat). Its description in RNAcentral is "partial small subunit ribosomal RNA". Lineage: Eukaryota; Viridiplantae; Streptophyta; Magnoliopsida; Poales; Poaceae. The record is from RNAcentral.
AUGCCUCUUGUCGACAAGGUCUCAAACAAGAUGAAGGGCUGGAAACCCAAGUUGUUGGCUCCGGCAGGCCGUCUCACUCUAACUUGCUCCGUCCUCCUGGCGCUCCCAUUACACUUUAUGGAAGCUCUCCCUCUGCCGGCUUGGGCGAUCAAGAUUAUCAACCGACGUUGUCGAGGUUUUAUCUGGAAGGGCGAGGAGGAGAUUUGUGGGGGCCACUGCCUCAUGCCUUGG